This 380-nucleotide ribosomal RNA is filed under the name uncultured eukaryote. RNAcentral's name for it is "partial 18S ribosomal RNA". It matches the Rfam family "Eukaryotic small subunit ribosomal RNA", at positions 592 to 976 of the family's 1831-position model. The record is from RNAcentral.
CAAUAGCGUAUAUUAAAGUUGUUGCAGUUAGAACGCUCGUAGUCGGAUUUCGGGGCGGGUUGACCGGUCUGCCGAUGGGUACGCACUGGCCGACGCGUCCUUCCUUCCGGAGACCGUCCCUACUCUUAACUGAGCGGGGGCGGGAGACGGAACGUUUACUUUGAAAAAAUCAGAGUGUUUCAAGCAGGCAUCUCGCUCUUGCAUGGAUUAGCAUGGGAUAAUGAAAUAGGACUUUGGUGCUAUUUUGUUGGUUUCGAACACCGAAGUAAUGAUGAGAAGGGACAGUCAGGGGCACUCGUAUUCCGCCGAGAGAGGUGAAAUUCUCAGACCAGCGGAAGACGAACCACUGCGAAAGCAUUUGCCAGGGAUGUUUUCACUGA